RNAcentral lists this ribosomal RNA (915 nucleotides) under Salmonella enterica subsp. enterica serovar Dublin. RNAcentral describes it as "partial 23S ribosomal RNA". It matches the Rfam family "Bacterial large subunit ribosomal RNA", at positions 560 to 1292 of the family's 2925-position model. Lineage: Bacteria; Pseudomonadati; Pseudomonadota; Gammaproteobacteria; Enterobacterales; Enterobacteriaceae. The record is from RNAcentral.
GUACGUACAAGCAGUGGGAGCCCCACCACUAAGCCAGUGGUGAACUCCACAUACGCAUCCUUUGCUGAGGAUACGGUUAACGGAGCGAAAGCGACGUUCAACCGCAAAAGAAGCAGAGGGGGCUUAGUGGUGGGGUGACUGCGUACCUUUUGUAUAAUGGGUCAGCGACUUAUAUUCUGUAGCAAGGUUAACCGAAUAGGGGAGCCGGAGGGAAACCGAGUCUUAACCGGGCGUUAAGUUGCAGGGUAUAGACCCGAAACCCGGUGAUCUAGCCAUGGGCAGGUUGAAGGUUGGGUAACACUAACUGGAGGACCGAACCGACUAAUGUUGAAAAAUUAGCGGAUGACCUGUGGCUGGGGGUGAAAGGCCAAUCAAACCGGGAGAUAGCUGGUUCUCCCCGAAAGCUAUUUAGGUAGCGCCUCGUGAAUUCAUCUCCGGGGGUAGAGCACUGUUUCGGCUAGGGGGCCAUCCCGGCUUACCAACCCGAUGCAAACUGCGAAUACCGGAGAAUGUUAUCACGGGAGACACACGGCGGGUGCUAACGUCCGUCGUGAAGAGGGAAACAACCCAGACCGCCAGCUAAGGUCCCAAAGUCAUGGUUAAGUGGGAAACGAUGUGGGAAGGCCCAGACAGCCAGGAUGUUGGCUUAGAAGCAGCCAUCAUUUAAAGAAAGCGUAAUAGCUCACUGGUCGAGUCGGCCUGCGCGGAAGAUGUAACGGGGCUAAACCAUGCACCGAAGCUGCGGCAGCGAACGUAUCACUUAAAGCGAUUCAGCGGGUUACGAUUGACGGAGCGAAGCGACGUCAAAGCGUAUACAAAGUCGAGUCGGUUUAAGGAUACGUUCGUUGGGUAGGGGAGCGUUCUGUAAGCCUGUGAAGGUGGCCUGUGAGGGUUGCUGGAGGUAUCAGAAGUGCG